GAUGAACGCUGGCGGCGUGCCUAAUACAUGCAAGUCGAGCGAACGGACGCGACGCUUGUUUCUUUGAUGUUAGCGGCGGACGGGUGAGUAACACGUGGAUAACCUACUUAUAAGACUGGGAUAACUUCGGGAAACCGGAGCUAAUACCGGAUAAUAUUUUGAACCGCAUGGUUCAAAAGUGAAUGACGGCCUUGCUGUCACUUAUAGAUGGUUCCGCGCUGCAUUAGCUAGUUGGUAAGGUAACGGCUUAUCAAGGCGACGAUGCAUAGCCGACCUGAGAGGGUGAUCGACCACACGAGAACUGAGACACGGUCCAGGCUCCUACGGGAGGCAGCAGUAGGGAAUCUGCCGCAAUGGGCGGAAGCCUGACGGAGCAACGCCGCGUGAGUGAUGAAGGUCUUCGGAUCGUAAAACUCUAUUAUUAGGGAAGAACAGAUGUGUAAGGAACUGUGCACAUCUUGACGGUACCUAAUCAAGAAGCCACGGCUAACUACGUG
RNAcentral lists this ribosomal RNA (497 nucleotides) under uncultured bacterium. Its description in RNAcentral is "partial 16S ribosomal RNA". It matches the Rfam family "Bacterial small subunit ribosomal RNA", at positions 28 to 507 of the family's 1533-position model. The record is from RNAcentral.